GGAUGUGAGGGCGAUCUGGCUGCGACAUCUGUCACCCCAUUGAUCGCCAGGGUUGACUCGGCUGAUCUGGCUGGCUAGGCGGGUGUCCCCUUCCUCCCUCACCGCUCCAUGUGCGUCCCUCCCGAAGCUGCGCGCUCGGUCGAAGAGGACGGCCUUCCCCGAAUAGAGACGGACCAGUCUUCGGUCGAGGGUAUACGAGUAGCUGUGCUCCCCUGCUAGAACCUCCAAACAAGCUCUCAAGGUCCAAACCCCUGGCUGACAUGGGGGGAAUGGCUUUGUGUAUUUGUGUAGUUAAUCUAAUGUAGAAAACAGUGUGGAAGCCAGCU
Molecule: small nuclear RNA, 326 nt
Filed under: Erinaceus europaeus (western European hedgehog)
Lineage: Eukaryota; Metazoa; Chordata; Mammalia; Eulipotyphla; Erinaceidae
Description: 7SK RNA (ENSEEUG00000018850.1)
Rfam family: 7SK RNA
About the family: 7SK was discovered as an abundant small nuclear RNA in the mid-70s but a possible function has only recently been suggested. Two independent studies have found that 7SK RNA binds the CDK9/cyclin T complex (known as elongation factor P-TEFb).
Source: RNAcentral